This 844-nucleotide unclassified non-coding RNA is filed under the name Hevea brasiliensis (rubber tree). Lineage: Eukaryota; Viridiplantae; Streptophyta; Magnoliopsida; Malpighiales; Euphorbiaceae. The record is from RNAcentral.
AGUGAUAAAAAUGACUACGACUGGUAAUUGAAACAUUUUUUUUACCCUCCAUUUUGCUUUUUGGAAAGUCACUUGAUUCGUAUGAUUUCAUUGUAUCAUUUUUGGGAUCGUAGUUAUGAUGGUGUGAGUAGAGGUUUCUAUUAUAGAACAAUGGAGCUGGACGUCAUACUUCGCAAAAAUAAAGCUUUUAUUUACUUUUAUCCUCCUUUGGUUUGUGGCCGUCAUGAAUGUAGAACAUUGGAAAGGUUGGAUUCGUAAUCUUGUCACUUGUUUAAAAUAUGUUACAAUCUGUAUCACCUCGUCUUUCUCAUAUCUUAUUGAAUAAAAUGCAUUAGUCUUCACUUAUUAGUUGCUGGUUCAUGCUGGUAGAGAGAUCUUUUGAAUGCCUCCUCUUCUCAUUUCUAAUAUUCCCUCCCUUGGAAAGGAGAUUUUGUGGUUAACUGUCAGUAUUCUGACAAAAUUGUAUUCUUUCAGACAUCUAGCUUUCAUGCUAAUUUAAGAAACCUUUGCUUCAGUUAUUUAUGCAUGAGAGCUGUAAAACCUGCUAAAGAGUGAUCCCUAGGCCUUUCUCUUGUCUCGAAAGGCAGAUGAAAAUUUGUCCUUCCUGGGGCUUGAUCAUAUUUUUGUUUGGUGUAGGUAGAAUUCAAACUUUUUGUGAACAUUUUAAUAUACAGCUGAUAAGGUAUUCUUGUGCUGGUUUGUGCUUGCCACUUUUGAAUAAUCAGUGGAUACCAUUAUGCUAUAAUGAAUUCAGGUCAUUGAUUCACAUACCUUUAGCAAUUUAAAGCUGAUGAUAAGUGAUAACCUUAAUUAUCUUCUGCUUUCAGGCUUCUAACACCUCCUG